RNAcentral lists this small RNA (193 nucleotides) under Marmoricola sp. Leaf446. Its description in RNAcentral is "c-di-AMP riboswitch aptamer (ydaO/yuaA leader)". It matches the Rfam family "c-di-AMP riboswitch aptamer (ydaO/yuaA leader)". From Rfam's summary of the family: This family represents a conserved RNA structure found upstream of the ydaO and yuaA genes in Bacillus subtilis and related genes in other bacteria. Lineage: Bacteria; Bacillati; Actinomycetota; Actinomycetes; Propionibacteriales; Nocardioidaceae. The record is from Rfam by way of RNAcentral. RNAcentral also lists the same sequence under 1 other name.
CCCCGGGAUUCGCCGAGUCCUGCCCGUCCGGGGGAGACCCUCCGUCAGUCAUGGGCAGGAGUGGGGGAACCACACGUUCCACGCAGCCGUCGCCAACCAGGCGUCGGGUGCUCGGGGUGAAGUCGCCGUGAGGCGGCGGAGCACUUUCCAGCUCCAACCCGACAGCUCACCUCACAGGCGUGGGAAAGGUCCU